GGGGUGUUGCUGUCCUUGCGGCCGCGUCCUUUCCAGCUGUGUCUGCAUGUCCUUCUAAACAAAACCACUCCUUGAAGCAUAUUGAUCCUCAUGUUGUUGACACUGACUUCUUAAGUCAGGAAGGUUUUCAAAAUGGAUGCCUGGAAACCACUUCUUCUUCUCUACAUUUUCACCUUCUCUACAGAGGCAGAGGAGUCUGAAUGCAAUAUAGAUCUUUCUAUAGCAAUUGAUAUUUCAAGGAGUGUG
This 246-nucleotide long non-coding RNA is filed under the name Serinus canaria (Common canary). RNAcentral describes it as "lncRNA (ENSSCAG00000001413.1)". The record is from RNAcentral. Lineage: Eukaryota; Metazoa; Chordata; Aves; Passeriformes; Fringillidae.